Molecule: long non-coding RNA, 1393 nt
Filed under: Amborella trichopoda
Lineage: Eukaryota; Viridiplantae; Streptophyta; Magnoliopsida; Amborellales; Amborellaceae
Description: long non-coding RNA (ATRI_LNC005150)
Source: RNAcentral
CCAAAUUAGGCAGGUAUCUUAUCGCCUAGGACGGUUCCUCCAAAUUAGGUGGGUAUCCUUGGGCCAAAUUAGGCAGGUAUCUUAUUGCCUAGGAGGUUCCGUCAAAUUAGGUCGGUAUCCUCUGUGCCCGUGCCGGGAACAAACGAGUAUCCAUGAUGUUUAGGAUUUUUGGUUCCCUAGAAUUUCCUCCCCAGAAAAAUCGGGUGUCUACACUCAUUAAGAAAAACAUUUUAGAAUCUAACCUGAACUCUAAUCCAACGCUACAAAUAAAGGUAAUGGGUCUGCUAUUUGUAUCUCUCUAAAACCGUAAUGUUUUGAUGUCAAAAUUUUGUUAGCAUCGACACUUAGCAUAGAAGCCACCCAUUCUCUCAUUAGCCUCUUUCAUAGCCAUUUUGUAUAACCCUUUUUAACCCAUCUUCAUACCCAUUAUAAGCUCUGUUACACUAUGCUCUCUCCAUGGCCAUUACGUAUUGUUUGAUUAAGGCUCAUCCAUGGCUCCUUGUCGUCACUCUUCAAGGAAUGAUUUUAGCUUUCUUUUGUCCCUUGAAUUCAUGCAGCAGUUGUCUCUCAUAGUCCCCAUUGGAGUUGGUCACUUUGAGCCUUACAUUGAAUACUAUGUGUGUGCUUGAUUGAUUUGAGAAUUGACCACCAUUUCCUUCGCACUUUAGUAGCCAGAUUCUUCUCCACAUGUGGCAUUCUCACUCUUAAUAAAAUCUUUCCUGUGGCUCUUAUGUAAUCCCUAGGGAAUCCUAUUCAACAUUUUCUACUUACACCCACCGGGUGCUUUCAUUACCAAGCCCUAUACAUCUUGGGCUUCUAAGUUACCAAAAACAAAGCCUCCUCAAUGAUUAUUGAUUUUGUCCGUCACAGUCCUAACAGGUCUAUGAUGAGCUUGGGACUUAUCUUGGGACCAUCAUGGACUUGCCAGGUCCAUGAUGGGUCUUCACGGACCUAAUAAGUUUCUUAAGCCCCAAGCACCCACUUGGGAGAUUCUAGGGGGAUUGGGACCAUCAUAGACCUAAUAGGUUUGUGAUGGACCAUCAUGGAUGGGAUUUUGGGUAAAAAAAAUAAAACGAGAAAAUGAGUGUGCGCUUAAAAUUAAGGAAAUUAUUUUUUGAAUUAUUGAAAUGGAUAUUUUUUAUAGUAUCCCUUUAUGUUUUUAUAUCCAUGAGAUUGAAGCAAUGUCCAUGUAAUCAAGUCUCUUGGUUAUCAUUUUUGUGGUUGAUUUUAUGUAAUACAUGUGCUGUUUUGUGGUGCUUACAUAGUCUAGUAAAUUGCAAUCUCCAUUGCAUGAAAAAAAUGGAAUGUUGGUUUGGCGCAUGAUGCUUCCUUCAGUGUCAAUUCAAACGUAAUUGAGUUUAUUCUAUUAGUUCAUAUCAUGUAUAUGUUGNNN